This 305-nucleotide ribosomal RNA is filed under the name uncultured bacterium. RNAcentral's name for it is "bacterial SSU rRNA". It matches the Rfam family "Bacterial small subunit ribosomal RNA", at positions 334 to 637 of the family's 1533-position model. The record is from RNAcentral.
UGGCCCUACGGGACGCAGCAGUGAGGAAUAUUGGUCAGUGGUCGGGAGACUGAGCCAGCCAAGCCGCGUGAGGGAUGAAGGUACAGAGUAUCGUAAACCUCUUUUGUCAGGGAACAAAGGCGGGGACGUGUCCCCGGAUGAGUGUACCUGAAGAAAAAGCAUCGGCUAACUCCGUGCCAGCAGCCGCGGUAAUACGGAGGAUGCGAGCGUUAUCCGGAUUUAUUGUGUUUAAAGGGUGCGCAGGCGGUCUGUUACGUCAGCGGUCAAAGCCCGGGGCUCAACCCCCGCCCGCCGUUGAAACUGGG